Molecule: ribosomal RNA, 564 nt
Filed under: uncultured Glomeromycotina
Lineage: Eukaryota; Fungi; Glomeromycota
Description: SSU rRNA
Rfam family: Eukaryotic small subunit ribosomal RNA
Source: RNAcentral
UUGGAGGGCAAGUCUGGUGCCAGCAGCCGCGGUAAUUCCAGCUCCAAUAGCGUAUAUUAAAGUUGUUGCAGUUAAAAAGCUCGUAGUUGAAUUUCGGGAUCAGAGUGUCGGUCGUGCCUUGGUACGCACUGGUAUUAUUGGUUCCUACCUUCUGAAGAACCGCGAUGUCAUUAAUUUGGUGUCGUGGGGAAUCAGGACUGUUACUUUGAAAAAAUUAGAGUGUUUAAAGCAGGCUUACGCUUGAAUACAUUAGCAUGGAAUAAUGAAAUAGGACGUUUGAUUCUAUUUUGUUGGUUUCUAGGAUUGACGUAAUGAUUAAUAGGGAUAGUUGGGGGCAUUAGUAUUCAAUUGUCAGAGGAGAAAUUCUUGGAUUUAUUGAAGACUAACUACUGCGAAAGCAUUUGCCAAGGAUGUUUUCAUUAAUCAAGAACGAAAGUUAGGGGAUCGAAGACGAUCAGAUACCGUCGUAGUCUUAACCAUAAACUAUGCCGACUAGGAAUCAGACGAUGUUAAUUUUUUAAUGACUCGUUUGGUACCUUACGGGAAACCAAAGUGUUUGGGUUC